GACGAACGCUGGCGGCGUGCCUAAUACAUGCAAGUUGAGCGAUGAAGAUUGGUGCUUGCACCAAUUUGAAGAGCAGCGAACGGGUGAGUAACGCGUGGGGAAUCUGCCUUUGAGCGGGGGACAACAUUUGGAAACGAAUGCUAAUACCGCAUAACAACUUUAAACAUAAGUUUUAAGUUUGAAAGAUGCAAUUGCAUCACUCAAAGAUGAUCCCGCGUUGUAUUAGCUAGUUGGUGGGGUAAAGGCUCACCAAGGCGAUGAUACAUAGCCGACCUGAGAGGGUGAUCGGCCACAUUGGGACUGAGACACGGCCCAAACUCCUACGGGAGGCAGCAGUAGGGAAUCUUCGGCAAUGGACGAAAGUCUGACCGAGCAACGCCGCGUGAGUGAAGAAGGUUGUCGGAUCGUAAAACUCUGUUGGUAGAGAAGAACGUUGGUGAGAGUGGAAAGCUCAUCAAGUGACGGUAACUACCCAGAAAGGGACGGCUAACUACGUG
This 497-nucleotide ribosomal RNA is filed under the name uncultured bacterium. RNAcentral describes it as "partial 16S ribosomal RNA". It matches the Rfam family "Bacterial small subunit ribosomal RNA", at positions 28 to 507 of the family's 1533-position model. The record is from RNAcentral.